UACAGAGGGGGCAAGCGUUGUUCGGAAUUACUGGGCGUAAAGGGCGCGUAGGCGGCCUGUUAAGUCGAACGUGAAAUCCCCGGGCUCAACCCGGGAACUGCGUCCGGUACUGGCAGGCUUGAAUCCGGGAGAGGGAUGUGGAAUUCCAGGUGUAGCGGUGAAAUGCGUAGAUAUCUGGAGGAACACCGGUGGCGAAGGCGGCAUCCUGGACCGGUAUUGACGCUGAGGCGCGAAAGCCAGGGGAGCAAACGGG
RNAcentral lists this ribosomal RNA (253 nucleotides) under uncultured bacterium. Its description in RNAcentral is "partial 16S ribosomal RNA". It matches the Rfam family "Bacterial small subunit ribosomal RNA", at positions 524 to 776 of the family's 1533-position model. The record is from RNAcentral.